RNAcentral lists this transfer-messenger RNA (270 nucleotides) under Klebsiella aerogenes. RNAcentral's name for it is "partial transfer-messenger RNA". It matches the Rfam family "transfer-messenger RNA", at positions 96 to 374 of the family's 374-position model. From Rfam's summary of the family: Bacterial tmRNA, also known as 10Sa RNA or SsrA, is named for its dual tRNA and mRNA-like properties. The record is from RNAcentral. Lineage: Bacteria; Pseudomonadati; Pseudomonadota; Gammaproteobacteria; Enterobacterales; Enterobacteriaceae.
AACGACGAAAACUACGCUUUAGCAGCUUAAUAACCUGCUUAGAGCCCUCUCUCCCUAGCCUCCGCUCUUAGGACGGGGAUCAAGAGAGGUCAAACCCAAAAGAGAUCGCGCGGAUGCCCUGCCUGGGGUUGAAGUGCUAAAACUAAUCAGGCUAGUUCGUUAGUGGCGUGUCUGUCCGCAGCUGGCGUGCGAAUGUAAAGACAAACUAAGCAUGUAGUACCGAGGAUGUAGGAAUUUCGGACGCGGGUUCAACUCCCGCCAGCUCCACCA